Molecule: non-coding RNA, 170 nt
Filed under: unclassified sequences
Description: RT-2 RNA
Rfam family: RT-2 RNA
About the family: Coriobacteriales (Actinobacteria), Clostridiales (Firmicutes).
Source: Rfam by way of RNAcentral
UCUGACGGCCCGCGCCGUCGGACAAACAUAUACCACGAUACGGGGAGCCGGACGCUUCUUGCAUGGGUGCGGCGCGUAUGCCCGCCGCGCUUUCAUGGCUCCGCGUUACGCAUUUUAGACGGCAUACCGAGAAAGAAAUGUACGAGGUAUCAAUUUUUAUUAUGAACAGC